Molecule: long non-coding RNA, 802 nt
Filed under: Manihot esculenta (cassava)
Lineage: Eukaryota; Viridiplantae; Streptophyta; Magnoliopsida; Malpighiales; Euphorbiaceae
Description: long non-coding RNA (MESC_LNC008859)
Source: RNAcentral
UUAUUAUUUUUAAUUAUAUUUUCUUAGUUCAUAUAAAUAUCUAAUAAAUUAAGUAUGAAAUUUGUGUUUUAGUAUAUAUAUAAUAACACAAGUGAAACUGGCUGCUUUAUGUUUAAUGUGGAAAAUAGGAUAUGCUCAUAAAAUACAAGCAGAGAUAACAGCGCAUAACUACGCAGUCCUCAUCAGUUGUAGCAACUGAUGGAUGACAUACAAGGUGGCACAAUCACUCGCAUCACCAUUUAUUCAUACCUACCAUAAUACAUCGAGUUUUAAGUCGUUUAUUUGGAUGGAUAGGAGAUGGGGGAUUGUGCCUUGCUUGGGGGGCUACCUUGUAGUUAAGGAGCUGGGGGCUUUUUGUAAGACGGAGGCUUCUUGUAAGGUGGAGGCUUCUUGUAAGGUGGGGGCUUCUUGUAAGGAGGCUUGUAGACUGGUGGCUUCUUAGGGGGCUUGUAAUGAGUUGGUGGCUUAUUCACCUUGGGAGGCUUGUAAUAAGGUUUCUUGAAGGUUUCAGGUUCAUAGAUUGGAAUGUCGGGCUCAGAAGGGUCAUAUUUUGGCUUGUAAUCAGCAAGGGUUGGACUAGCUAUAAAAGCUAUAGCUACUCCGACGAACAACAGUGCUACCAAGAUUGCAUGCAUUUUUAGGUUUCCAAUGAUGCUGCAUUACAAAAGAGGUAUGGGUGCCUUUUAUAGACGUCUCAGAUCUUUGCUGGGUACACGUGUCACAGUUUGGUUCACAGUUUUUUCUGUCGGCAUAAGUCAAAAAUGGUUUCUAAAUUUUCGUGGAGACAAUAAAUGAGAUGGGC